GGGUAUUCUUUUAUUUUGAGGUGUUUUUGGGUGAGGUUUUUAAAUAUUUACUUUAGUAAUCAUGUGGUAUUUUUGUAAAGUUUGGUUCUGGCUUGAGAAUAUGGCGGAGACUAUAGAAUACACAUGAUUUUUGUAGAGUGAGGCGAGGUAGAAAGAAGUGAAUAUGGUUAGUUAAAUGAGGCUGAAUUAUUAUUCUUUUUUCUAGGCAUUAUAAUUUAUAGAAUGUCUUGUGAAGUCCCGUUAACAUCAGUGUUGAAGGUUAAUUAAAAGGCGUGAGCCUGUUUUAAUAUAGUGUUUUAAGCUUGGUUAAUUUGGUGCCAGCAUCCGCGGUUACACCAAGAAGUUGAGUCAUAUGAUUGAUGGUGAAAAGAUAGUUAGGCGAAUAAGGAGUUGUAGGCUAUUCGAUGUAGUGUAUAGAGGUAAAAUUUAAGUGCGACUAUAUAGUUUGAGAAUAGCUUUAGGGCUGAAUCUAUGAAAUCCUUGAGGGAAACUGGGAUUAGGUACCCCAUUAUUCUUGGAUGUAAAUAGAGAGUGUCUACCAGAGGUACUAUGAAUAAUAGAGAAUUUAAAACUCAAAGAACUUGGCGGUGUUUUAGACCACUUAGGGGAACCUGUCUCGUAAUCGACAGUCCACGUUGUACCUGACCUUUUCUUGUUUUCAGUUUGUAUACCGUUGUCGUCAGGUAACUUUUUAGAAAAUAGAAGUUGGCUAUAGAAAUUUAGUAAUUUAGUACGUCAAAUCAAGGUGCAGCUAACGAAAGGGGGAGGAUGGGUUACAAUUAUAUAAUUAUAAUGACGGAUGUCCACAUGAAAGUGUGGGUUGUGAAGGAGGACUUAGAAGUAAAUUGGAUUAAGAAAAACAGUUUGAAUGAGGCUCUGAAACGUGUACACAUCGCCCGUCGCUCUUGUUGAAAAAUAAGAUAAGUCGUAACAUAGUAGGGGUAAUGGAAAUUGCCCCUAUGGU
This 964-nucleotide ribosomal RNA is filed under the name Oxymeris dimidiata (dimidiate auger shell). Its description in RNAcentral is "small subunit ribosomal RNA". The stretch from base 207 to 960 matches the Rfam family "Microsporidia small subunit ribosomal RNA". The record is from RNAcentral. Lineage: Eukaryota; Metazoa; Mollusca; Gastropoda; Neogastropoda; Terebridae.